RNAcentral lists this ribosomal RNA (446 nucleotides) under uncultured bacterium. RNAcentral describes it as "partial 16S ribosomal RNA". It matches the Rfam family "Bacterial small subunit ribosomal RNA", at positions 338 to 795 of the family's 1533-position model. The record is from RNAcentral.
ACUACGGGUGGCAGCAGUCGAGAAUCAUUCACAAUGGGGGAAACCCUGAUGGUGCGACGCCGCGUGGGGGAAUGAAGGUCUUCGGAUUGUAAACCCCUGUCAUGUGGGAGCAAAUUAAAAAGAUAGUACCACAAGAGGAAGAGACGGCUAACUCUGUGCCCGCAGCCGCGGUAAUACAGGGGUCUCAAGCGUUGUUCGGAAUCACUGGGCGUAAAGCGUGCGUAGGCGGUUUCGUAAGUCGUGUGUGAAAGGCGGGGGCUCAACCCGCGGACGGAACAUGAUACUGCGAGACUAGAGUAAUGGAGGGGGAACCGGAAUUCUCGGUGUAGCAGUGAAAUGCGUAGAUAUCGAGAGGAACACUCGUGGCGAAGGCGGGUUCCUGGACAUUAACUGACGCUGAGGCACGAAGGCCAGGGGAGCGAAAGGGAUUAGAUACCCCAGUAGUC